Molecule: long non-coding RNA, 531 nt
Organism: Ictalurus punctatus (channel catfish)
Lineage: Eukaryota; Metazoa; Chordata; Actinopteri; Siluriformes; Ictaluridae
Source: Ensembl
AAAAAUAUUGGAACAUGUGUUUCUUAUAUAAUAUAAUAUAAGACAGGUGUUUCUUGUUGCACAGGUGUGCCCUGUCAGAUUGACUGUUUCAACAAUAAAUAGGUCUGAAUGUUUAUUCUUGGUUUAAGCCCUGGGUUUCAUUUGUGAAGUCUGCAUUUAUUGUUAAUAAGGAUAAGCCAACAUGAAAAUCAGAGAGCUGUCAAUGGAAAAAGCAGGCCACAUUGAAGCUGAGAAUGAAGGAAAAUCGAUCACUGCACAAGCAUUGGGCAUAACCAGUACAACAAUUUGGAUUGUCCUAAAAAGAAACCACUGUUGUACCAGUCAGAUGUUGAACAGGUCGGCGAAGGAAAACAACAGCAGUUGAUUACAGAACAUUGUAAAACAUCAGUCAAGCAUGGUGGAGGCUAUCAUGUUGCUGCCUCAGAGUUACUACAGAAUUUUACAUGUUCUCCUUGUGCACACGUGAGUUUUCUCCUACUAUCUAAAAACAUGCAGUGUUACCCAGAUUACCCAGUCAGAAUCCACCAUGAC